CAGUCGCCGCGGUAAUACGUAGGUGGCGAGCGUUGUCCGGAAUUAUUGGGCGUAAAGGGAGCGCAGGCGGGCGAGUAAGUCUUUCUUAAAAGUGCGGGGCUCAACCCCGUGAGGGGAGAGAAACUACUCAUCUUGAGUGCAGGAGAGGAAAGCGGAAUUCUUAGUGUAGCGGUGAAAUGCGUAGAUAUUAGGAAGAACACCAGUGGCGAAGGCGGCUUUCUGGACUGUAACUGACGCUGAGGCUCGAAAGCCAGGGGAGCGAACGGGAUUAGAUACCCGUGUAGUCCCUGUCUCUUAUACC
RNAcentral lists this ribosomal RNA (301 nucleotides) under uncultured bacterium. RNAcentral's name for it is "partial 16S ribosomal RNA". It matches the Rfam family "Bacterial small subunit ribosomal RNA", at positions 509 to 808 of the family's 1533-position model. The record is from RNAcentral.